Molecule: ribosomal RNA, 315 nt
Filed under: Triticum aestivum (bread wheat)
Lineage: Eukaryota; Viridiplantae; Streptophyta; Magnoliopsida; Poales; Poaceae
Description: partial small subunit ribosomal RNA
Source: RNAcentral
AUGUGGUAUCUUCGUAGGGGAGUUGUUCUAACCAAAGACAACCUCGCACGCCGCAACUGGCCAAGGAGUAAGAAGUGUUGUUUUUGCACUCAUGAAGAGACAAUCAAACACCUCUUUUUCCAAUGCAAGUUUGCACGUUCUACGUGGUCAGUCAUCCAAAUAGCGUCAAAUUUGUAUCCGCCCACAAGUGUCGCCAAUAUUUUUGGUCAUUGGUUGGAUGGUAUUUCAAAUAGGUUGAAAACGCUAAUAAGGGUGAGAGCGUAUGCCUUACUAUGGUCGCUUUGGCUAUGUAGGAAUGAUUUGGUUUUCAAAUAA